This 434-nucleotide ribosomal RNA is filed under the name uncultured bacterium. RNAcentral's name for it is "bacterial SSU rRNA". It matches the Rfam family "Bacterial small subunit ribosomal RNA", at positions 32 to 507 of the family's 1533-position model. The record is from RNAcentral.
AACGACGCUGGCGGCAGGCCUCAAACAUGCAAGUCUAGGGGGUGUAGCAAUACAUCACCGGCGGACGGGUGCGUAACGCGUGGGAAUAUACCUAUUGGUUCGGAACAACUGAGGGAAACUUCAGCUAAUACCGGAUACGUCCUUACGGAGAAAGAUUUAUCGCCAAUAGAUUAGCCCGCGUUCGAUUAGCUAGUUGGUGGGGUAACGGCCCACCAAGGCGACGAUCGAUAGCUGUUCUGAGAGGAAGAUCAGCCACACUGGGACUGAGACACGGCCCAGACUCCUACGGGAGGCAGCAGUUGGGAAUCUUGGACAAUGGGGGAAACCCUGAUCCAGCCAUGCCGCGUGAGUGAUGAAGGCCUUCGGGUUGUAAAACUCUUUCGCGCACGACGAUAAUGACGGUAGUGCGAGAAGAAGCUCCGGCUAACUUCGUG